Molecule: ribosomal RNA, 305 nt
Filed under: uncultured bacterium
Lineage: Bacteria
Description: bacterial SSU rRNA
Rfam family: Bacterial small subunit ribosomal RNA
Source: RNAcentral
UUUCCUACGGGAGGCAGCAGUGGGGGAUAUUGGACAAUGGGGGGAACCCUGAUCCAGCGACGCCGCGUGAGUGAAGAAGUAUUUCGGUAUGUAAAGCUCUGUCAGCAGGGAAGAAAGCAAUGACGGUACCUGACCAAGAAGCCCCGGCUAACUACGUGCCAGCAGCCGCGGUAAUACGUAGGGGGCAAGCGUUAUCCGGAUUUACUGGGUGUAAAGGGGGCGCAGACGGCAAUGCAAGCCAGGAGUGAAAGCCCGGGGCCCAACCCCGGGACUGCUCUUGGAACUGCAUGGCUGGAGUACAGGAG